CGAGCGGCGGACGGGUGAGUAAUGUCUGGGAAACUGCCUGAUGGAGGGGGAUAACUACUGGAAACGGUAGCUAAUACCGCAUAACGUCGCAAGACCAAAGAGGGGGACCUUCGGGCCUCUUGCCAUCAGAUGUGCCCAGAUGGGAUUAGCUAGUAGGUGGGGUAACGGCUCACCUAGGCGACGAUCCCUAGCUGGUCUGAGAGGAUGACCAGCCACACUGGAACUGAGACACGGUCCAGACUCCUACGGGAGGCAGCAGUGGGGAAUAUUGCACAAUGGGCGCAAGCCUGAUGCAGCCAUGCCGCGUGUAUGAAGAAGGCCUUCGGGUUGUAAAGUACUUUCAGCGGGGAGGAAGGUGUUGAGGUUAAUAACCUCAGCAAUUGACGUUACCCGCAGAAGAAGCACCGGCUAACUCCGUGCCAGCAGCCGCGGUAAUACGGAGGGUGCAAGCGUUAAUCGGAAUUACUGGGCGUAAAGCGCACGCAGGCGGUCUGUCAAGUCGGAUGUGAAAUCCCCGGGCUCAACCUGGGAACUGCAUUCGAAACUGGCAGGCUAGAGUCUUGUAGAGGGGGGUAGAAUUCCAGGUGUAGCGGUGAAAUGCGUAGAGAUCUGGAGGAAUACCGGUGGCGAAGGCGGCCCCCUGGACAAAGACUGACGCUCAGGUGCGAAAGCGUGGGGAGCAAACAGGAUUAGAUACCCUGGUAGUCCACGCCGUAAACGAUGUCGACUUGGAGGUUGUGCCCUUGAGGCGUGGCUUCCGGAGCUAACGCGUUAAGUCGACCGCCUGGGGAGUACGGCCGCAAGGUUAAAACUCAAAUGAAUUGACGGGGGCCCGCACAAGCGGUGGAGCAUGUGGUUUAAUUCGAUGCAACGCGAAGAACCUUACCUACUCUUGACAUCCAGAGAACUUUCCAGAGAUGGAUUGGUGCCUUCGGGAACUCUGAGACAGGUGCUGCAUGGCUGUCGUCAGCUCGUGUUGUGAAAUGUUGGGUUAAGUCCCGCAACGAGCGCAACCCUUAUCCUUUGUUGCCAGCGGUUAGGCCGGGAACUCAAAGGAGACUGCCAGUGAUAAACUGGAGGAAGGUGGGGAUGACGUCAAGUCAUCAUGGCCCUUACGAGUAGGGCUACACACGUGCUACAAUGGCGCAUACAAAGAGAAGCGACCUCGCGAGAGCAAGCGGACCUCAUAAAGUGCGUCGUAGUCCGGAUUGGAGUCUGCAACUCGACUCCAUGAAGUCGGAAUCGCUAGUAAUCGUAGAUCAGAAUGCUACGGUGAAUACGUUCCCGGGCCUUGUACACACCGCCCGUCACACCAUGGGAGUGGGUUGCAAAAGAAGUAGGUAGCUUAACCUUCGGGAGGGCGCUUACCACUUUGUGAUUCAUGACUGGGGUGAAGUCGUAACAAGGUAACCGUAGGGGAACCUGCGGUUGGAUCACCUCCUUACCUUAAAGAA
Molecule: ribosomal RNA, 1454 nt
Filed under: Enterobacter sp. PN108E5IIB
Lineage: Bacteria; Pseudomonadati; Pseudomonadota; Gammaproteobacteria; Enterobacterales; Enterobacteriaceae
Description: bacterial SSU rRNA
Rfam family: Bacterial small subunit ribosomal RNA
Source: RNAcentral